Long non-coding RNA from Lates calcarifer (barramundi perch), 408 nucleotides. RefSeq lists it as uncharacterized. Lineage: Eukaryota; Metazoa; Chordata; Actinopteri; Centropomidae. The transcript is spliced from 2 exons. The record is from RefSeq and is a predicted model, not a curated record.
ACAGCUGUCGAGUGGUGCUCGUAGAGGAAAACUAAAGUGUGCAGAGAACAGAACAGAGGCCAGUUGGAUAAAAAUCACGUUCAAGAUCAAGACGAAAUUCAUGCGCUGAUCAAGAUGGAUUCAGCAAAAAGCAAGCUGAGAUAUAUGCACAAGAACUGGAUCUGCAGGCUUCAGUCAUGUUUGGAUUUCAUUCCAUACAGCAGCUGACCAGUGAUCACAGAUUUGCAGCAUACGUGUGAAUCCUUUGAGCCAAUCAGCUGUGUCGGCAUGCUUGUGCAUGUGAGCAGGAGUGGCCAACAGUGCAGCCAUGCAGUCAGAAGGUGGCUCUCCUUUCACUACAGCUGCAGUCACAGCCUGCUGGACUUGUUGAAAUGCUGACGUGUGUAAAAUAAACAGCGAGGAACUCAA